This 1173-nucleotide ribosomal RNA is filed under the name Bacillus licheniformis. RNAcentral's name for it is "bacterial SSU rRNA". It matches the Rfam family "Bacterial small subunit ribosomal RNA", at positions 31 to 1160 of the family's 1533-position model. Lineage: Bacteria; Bacillati; Bacillota; Bacilli; Caryophanales; Bacillaceae. The record is from RNAcentral.
AGACGGUGCGGGCGUGCUAUACAUGCAAGUCGAGCGGACCGACGGGAGCUUGCUCCCUUAGGUCAGCGGCGGACGGGUGAGUAACACGUGGGUAACCUGCCUGUAAGACUGGGAUAACUCCGGGAAACCGGGGCUAAUACCGGAUGCUUGAUUGAACCGCAUGGUUCAAUCAUAAAAGGUGGCUUUUAGCUACCACUUACAGAUGGACCCGCGGCGCAUUAGCUAGUUGGUGAGGUAACGGCUCACCAAGGCGACGAUGCGUAGCCGACCUGAGAGGGUGAUCGGCCACACUGGGACUGAAACACGGCCCAGACUCCUACGGGAGGCAGCAGUAGGGAAUCUUCCGCAAUGGACGAAAGUCUGACGGAACAACGCCGCGUGAGUGAUGAAGGUUUUCGGAUCGUAAAACUCUGUUGUUAGGGAAGAACAAGUACCGUUCGAAUAGGGCGGUACCUUGACGGUACCUAACCAGAAAGCCACGGCUAACUACGUGCCAGCAGCCGCGGUAAUACGUAGGUGGCAAGCGUUGUCCGGAAUUAUUGGGCGUAAAGCGCGCGCAGGCGGUUUCUUAAGUCUGAUGUGAAAGCCCCCGGCUCAACCGGGGAGGGUCAUUGGAAACUGGGGAACUUGAGUGCAGAAGAGGAGAGUGGAAUUCCACGUGUAGCGGUGAAAUGCGUAGAGAUGUGGAAGAACACCAGUGGCGAAGGCGACUCUCUGGUCUGUAACUGGACGCUGAGGCGCGAAAGCGUGGGGAGCGAACAGGAUUAGAUACCCCUGGUAGUCCCACGCCGUAAACGAUGAGUGCUAAGUGUUUAGAGGGGUUUCCCGCCCCUUUAGUUGCUGCAGCAAACGCAUUAAGCACUUCCGCCCUGGGGGAGUACGGGUCGCGAGGACUGAAACUCAAAAGGAAUUGAACGGGGGCCCGCCACCAAGCCGGUGGAGCAUGUGGGUUUAAUUCGAAGCAACGCGAAGAACCUUACCAGGUCGUGACAUCCCUCUGACAACCCUAGAGAUAGGGCUUCUCCUUUCGGGGGCAGAGUGGACAGGUGGUGCAUGGAUGUCGUCAGCCUCUGUCGUGAGAUGUUGGGAUAAGUUCCCGCACCGAGCGCAACCCGUUGAAUCGUAGCUGCAGCAUUCAGCUUGGGCACUCGUAAAGGUGAACCUGCCCGGUGG